CCUUUCUUUGACCUGAGGAAUGGUACCAAGGGGAGACUUAACUACAGAUAACACCUCUGUUCAGCAACUUCUAAGGCAUCUAGAUGGUAGAGUUGAUACAGUUCUAGAACUGUAGUUUGGAAGACCCAACCUCAAAUCCUGCCACGGAUACUUAUUAACUGGGUUUGUUGGAUCUAGCCUCUUAACCUCUCUCAACUUCAGUUCCCUCAUCUAUAAAAUGUAAAAUCCUACCUUAUUGGAUUGUGAAGACCAACUGAUAUAAUAUAUGUAAAGUGCUUUUUAAACCUGGAAGUGCUAUAUAAACACUAGAUUUUAUUACAACUUGUGUGACUUUUGUUAAGUCACAAUGUAGAACCCCCUGAAAACUUGCAGGAUAUAUCCCUCAAAGAAUAGCUACCUGAGGACUUCCGGGUAAUCAUGGCUGCAAUCUAGACGCCACAUGCUUCCUCUCCCCGGCACCAAACGAAAUAGACUACAUCAAAGGAGCAUAAAAGUCACCUUUGGAGGAACAGAAGGACACUCCAGUACUCCCCAGUACUCCACAGAGGCAAAGGGCUUUGCUCACCCAGCAUGUGAAGACUGCUUCGGCCAAACAGACGGAAGAAACCAAUAUGAAGGUUCAACGGCUGAGAUGGGGACGCAGCAAAGCACUGUGGAGUGCUUAGGGCAUGUUGGAGCACAAAAGACAACACGGCCAUCCAAUGCAGCUGAGGAGGUCUCCAGGUGUAACGACUUUUCGUGCCACUGGACCCAGGCUUCCAAAGCCGAGAGAGUGGGACUGUCUCUGUGCACUGACUUUUCCACUUAAAUCUUCACGCACAAGAGUCUUUGUGCACAAAAAUGCACAAAGACAAUCGUCAUCCUCAGUUACCAAGAGACUACUACUAUAUAUAACUACAACUAUUUAAUAUUAUACUAGUAAUUCUAGCUAUAGCAAUAAGAACAGAAAAAAAAUGGAAGGAAUUAGAAUAGGCAAUAAGGAAAAAAAAACUAUCUCUCUUUGUGGAUAAUAUAAUGUAGUUGAUAUACAUAGAGAACCCUAGAGACUCAAACCAAAAACAAUUUUUGUAAAGUUUCAGGGUACAAAAUAAAUCCAUAUAAAUCAUUAACA
RNAcentral lists this long non-coding RNA (1111 nucleotides) under Monodelphis domestica (gray short-tailed opossum). RNAcentral's name for it is "lncRNA (ENSMODG00000048333.1)". The record is from RNAcentral. Lineage: Eukaryota; Metazoa; Chordata; Mammalia; Didelphimorphia; Didelphidae.